GUUAUCGUUUAUUUGAUAGUACCUUACUACUUGGAUAACCGUGGUAAUUCUAGAGCUAAUACAUGCCAAAAACCCCGACUACGGAAGGGGUGUAUUUAUUAGAUAAAAAGCCAACGCCCUUCGGGGCUCCUUGGUGAUUCAUGAUAACUCAACGAACCGCAUGGCCUUGCGCCGGCGGUGGUUCAUUCAAAUUUCUGCCCUAUCAACUUUCGAUGGUAGGAUAGUGGCCUACCAUGGUUUCAACGGGUAACGGGGAAUUAGGGUUCGAUUCCGGAGAGGGGGCCUGAGAAACGGCCACCACAUCCAAGGAAGGCAGCAGGCGCGCAAAUUACCCAAUCCCGACACGGGGAGGUAGUGACAAUAAAUACUGAUACAGGGCUCUUUUGGGUCUUGUAAUUGGAAUGAGUACAAUUUAAAUACCUUAACGAGGAACAAUUGGAGGGCAAGUCUGGUGCCAGCAGCCGCGGUAAUUCCAGCUCCAAUAGCGUAUAUUAAAGUUGUUGCAGUUAAAAAGCUCGUAGUUGAACCUUGGCCCUGGCUAGCCGGUCCGCCUCACCGCGAGCACUGGUCCGGCCGGGGCUUUCCUCCUGGGGAUCCGCAUGGCCUUUGCUGGUCGUGUCGGGGAACCAGGACUUUUACUUUGAAAAAAUUAGAGUGUUCAAAGCAGGCAUCCGCUCGAAUACAUUAGCAUGGAAUAAUGGAAUAGG
Molecule: ribosomal RNA, 707 nt
Filed under: Roccellographa cretacea
Lineage: Eukaryota; Fungi; Ascomycota; Arthoniomycetes; Arthoniales; Roccellographaceae
Description: SSU rRNA
Rfam family: Eukaryotic small subunit ribosomal RNA
Source: RNAcentral